AUGGCAUGGGGACGGCUUCCUAUUCCAGCUUGUCAAGCGCGCCAUUGCAGCACCCCCACGGCGCGGUUCCAGCUCGCCACUGAGACCGUUGCAACAUCUCUAUCUCGGCGUUCCAGUUCGCCGCUGCCACAGGCGCAGCUCGCCGCGGCCGCGCGCGUAUCUUGCCGCAGCAACGGGCACGGCUCGCCGACGUUGUGUUUUCCUUCGUCAAAGGGGAAAGAGGAGGUGGUGGUGGCUGCGGCCGUAGCAGGCAGAAGAAGAAAAAAAGGGCGGCAGCCAUGGCCGGCCGGAACCGCCUAUCGCCGGUGGCAGAGGGCAAGCAUAGAUGAAGGAAGUGGGGCGGGAGGGUGGGAGCGGAGCACGCGUGCCGACGAGAUGGUGUUCGUGGCGAGAAAGAACGAGUGGAUCUCAUUUGUCCCGAAGAGAUAA
This 429-nucleotide ribosomal RNA is filed under the name Triticum aestivum (bread wheat). Its description in RNAcentral is "partial small subunit ribosomal RNA". Lineage: Eukaryota; Viridiplantae; Streptophyta; Magnoliopsida; Poales; Poaceae. The record is from RNAcentral.